Molecule: non-coding RNA, 143 nt
Organism: Magnetococcus sp.
Lineage: Bacteria; Pseudomonadati; Pseudomonadota; Magnetococcia; Magnetococcales; Magnetococcaceae
Source: Rfam
CCCGAUAUUCUGCUAUCGGUAACCUACCUGGACAUGCAUGGUGAGCAAUCACAUGUGUGAAGCUCCAGGGACAACGGUACUGUCACCUGCCACCAAGCCGUGAGGUAUGAUGUGGCAACACUAAAACGGACAGUGUUUUACGC